UUAAGCGACUAAGCGUACACGGUGGAUGCCCUGGCAGUCAGAGGCGAUGAAGGACGUGCUAAUCUGCGAUAAGCGUCGGUAAGGUGAUAUGAACCGUUAUAACCGGCGAUUUCCGAAUGGGGAAACCCAGUGUGUUUCGACACACUAUCAUUAACUGAAUCCAUAGGUUAAUGAGGCGAACCGGGGGAACUGAAACAUCUAAGUACCCCGAGGAAAAGAAAUCAACCGAGAUUCCCCCAGUAGCGGCGAGCGAACGGGGAGGAGCCCAGAGCCUGAAUCAGUGUGUGUGUUAGUGGAAGCGUCUGGAAAGGCGCGCGAUACAGGGUGACAGCCCCGUACACAAAAAUGCACAUACUGUGAGCUCGAUGAGUAGGGCGGGACACGUGGUAUCCUGUCUGAAUAUGGGGGGACCAUCCUCCAAGGCUAAAUACUCCUGACUGACCGAUAGUGAACCAGUACCGUGAGGGAAAGGCGAAAAGAACCCCGGCGAGGGGAGUGAAAAAGAACCUGAAACCGUGUACGUACAAGCAGUGGGAGCCUCUUUUAUGGGGUGACUGCGUACCUUUUGUAUAAUGGGUCAGCGACUUAUAUUCUGUAGCAAGGUUAACCGAAUAGGGGAGCCGAAGGGAAACCGAGUCUUAACUGGGCGUUAAGUUGCAGGGUAUAGACCCGAAACCCGGUGAUCUAGCCAUGGGCAGGUUGAAGGUUGGGUAACACUAACUGGAGGACCGAACCGACUAAUGUUGAAAAAUUAGCGGAUGACUUGUGGCUGGGGGUGAAAGGCCAAUCAAACCGGGAGAUAGCUGGUUCUCCCCGAAAGCUAUUUAGGUAGCGCCUCGUGAAUUCAUCUCCGGGGGUAGAGCACUGUUUCGGCAAGGGGGUCAUCCCGACUUACCAACCCGAUGCAAACUGCGAAUACCGGAGAAUGUUAUCACGGGAGACACACGGCGGGUGCUAACGUCCGUCGUGAAGAGGGAAACAACCCAGACCGCCAGCUAAGGUCCCAAAGUCAUGGUUAAGUGGGAAACGAUGUGGGAAGGCCCAGACAGCCAGGAUGUUGGCUUAGAAGCAGCCAUCAUUUAAAGAAAGCGUAAUAGCUCACUGGUCGAGUCGGCCUGCGCGGAAGAUGUAACGGGGCUAAACCAUGCACCGAAGCUGCGGCAGCGACACUAUGUGUUGUUGGGUAGGGGAGCGUUCUGUAAGCCUGUGAAGGUGUACUGUGAGGUAUGCUGGAGGUAUCAGAAGUGCGAAUGCUGACAUAAGUAACGAUAAAGCGGGUGAAAAGCCCGCUCGCCGGAAGACCAAGGGUUCCUGUCCAACGUUAAUCGGGGCAGGGUGAGUCGACCCCUAAGGCGAGGCCGAAAGGCGUAGUCGAUGGGAAACAGGUUAAUAUUCCUGUACUUGGUGUUACUGCGAAGGGGGGACGGAGAAGGCUAUGUUGGCCGGGCGACGGUUGUCCCGGUUUAAGCGUGUAGGCUGGUUUUCCAGGCAAAUCCGGAAAAUCAAGGCUGAGGCGUGAUGACGAGGCACUACGGUGCUGAAGCAACAAAUGCCCUGCUUCCAGGAAAAGCCUCUAAGCAUCAGGUAACAUCAAAUCGUACCCCAAACCGACACAGGUGGUCAGGUAGAGAAUACCAAGGCGCUUGAGAGAACUCGGGUGAAGGAACUAGGCAAAAUGGUGCCGUAACUUCGGGAGAAGGCACGCUGAUAUGUAGGUGAAGCGACUUGCUCGUGGAGCUGAAAUCAGUCGAAGAUACCAGCUGGCUGCAACUGUUUAUUAAAAACACAGCACUGUGCAAACACGAAAGUGGACGUAUACGGUGUGACGCCUGCCCGGUGCCGGAAGGUUAAUUGAUGGGGUCAGCGCAAGCGAAGCUCUUGAUCGAAGCCCCGGUAAACGGCGGCCGUAACUAUAACGGUCCUAAGGUAGCGAAAUUCCUUGUCGGGUAAGUUCCGACCUGCACGAAUGGCGUAAUGAUGGCCAGGCUGUCUCCACCCGAGACUCAGUGAAAUUGAACUCGCUGUGAAGAUGCAGUGUACCCGCGGCAAGACGGAAAGACCCCGUGAACCUUUACUAUAGCUUGACACUGAACAUUGAGCCUUGAUGUGUAGGAUAGGUGGGAGGCUUUGAAGUGUGGACGCCAGUCUGCAUGGAGCCGACCUUGAAAUACCACCCUUUAAUGUUUGAUGUUCUAACGUUGACCCGUGAUCCGGGUUGCGGACAGUGUCUGGUGGGUAGUUUGACUGGGGCGGUCUCCUCCUAAAGAGUAACGGAGGAGCACGAAGGUUGGCUAAUCCUGGUCGGACAUCAGGAGGUUAGUGCAAUGGCAUAAGCCAGCUUGACUGCGAGCGUGACGGCGCGAGCAGGUGCGAAAGCAGGUCAUAGUGAUCCGGUGGUUCUGAAUGGAAGGGCCAUCGCUCAACGGAUAAAAGGUACUCCGGGGAUAACAGGCUGAUACCGCCCAAGAGUUCAUAUCGACGGCGGUGUUUGGCACCUCGAUGUCGGCUCAUCACAUCCUGGGGCUGAAGUAGGUCCCAAGGGUAUGGCUGUUCGCCAUUUAAAGUGGUACGCGAGCUGGGUUUAGAACGUCGUGAGACAGUUCGGUCCCUAUCUGCCGUGGGCGCUGGAGAACUGAGGGGGGCUGCUCCUAGUACGAGAGGACCGGAGUGGACGCAUCACUGGUGUUCGGGUUGUCAUGCCAAUGGCACUGCCCGGUAGCUAAAUGCGGAAGAGAUAAGUGCUGAAAGCAUCUAAGCACGAAACUUGCCCCGAGAUGAGUUCUCCCUGACUCCUUGAGAGUCCUGAAGGAACGUUGAAGACGACGACGUUGAUAGGCCGGGUGUGUAAGCGCAGCGAUGCGUUGAGCUAACCGGUACUAAUGAACCGUGAGGCUUAACCUU
RNAcentral lists this ribosomal RNA (2901 nucleotides) under Escherichia coli KTE193. RNAcentral describes it as "bacterial LSU rRNA". It matches the Rfam family "Bacterial large subunit ribosomal RNA". The record is from RNAcentral. Lineage: Bacteria; Pseudomonadati; Pseudomonadota; Gammaproteobacteria; Enterobacterales; Enterobacteriaceae.